AACGCGAAGAACCUUACCAGGUCUUGACAUCCCGAUGAAAGCCUCAGAGAUGAGGUCCCUCUUCGGAGCAUUGGAGACAGGUGGUGCAUGGUUGUCGUCAGCUCGUGUCGUGAGAUGUUGGGUUAAGUCCCGCAACGAGCGCAACCCUUGGAUCUAGUUGCCAGCAUUUCGGAUGGGCACUCUAGAUCGACUGCCGGUGACAAACCGGAGGAAGGCGGGGAUGACGUCAAAUCAUCAUGCCCCUUAUGACCUGGGCUACACACGUACUACAAUGGCCGGUACAACGGGAAGCGAAGGAGCGAUCUGGAGCCAAUCCUAUAAAAGCCGGUCUCAGUUCGGAUUGCAGGCUGCAACUCGCCUGCAUGAAGUCGGAAUUGCUAGUAAUCGCGGACCAGCAUGCCGCGGUGAAUACGUUCCCGGGUCUUGUACACACGC
Molecule: ribosomal RNA, 435 nt
Filed under: uncultured bacterium
Lineage: Bacteria
Description: bacterial SSU rRNA
Rfam family: Bacterial small subunit ribosomal RNA
Source: RNAcentral